This 467-nucleotide ribosomal RNA is filed under the name uncultured bacterium. Its description in RNAcentral is "partial 16S ribosomal RNA". It matches the Rfam family "Bacterial small subunit ribosomal RNA", at positions 28 to 507 of the family's 1533-position model. The record is from RNAcentral.
GACGAACGCUGGCGGCGUGCUUAACACAUGCAAGUCGAACGGAAAGGCCCUGCUUUUGUGGGGUGCUCGAGUGGCGAACGGGUGAGUAACACGUGAGUAACCUGCCCUUGACUUUGGGAUAACUUCAGGAAACUGGGGCUAAUACCGGAUAGGAGCUCCUGCUGCAUGGUGGGGGUUGGAAAGUUUCGGCGGUUGGGGAUGGACUCGCGGCUUAUCAGCUUGUUGGUGGGGUAGUGGCUUACCAAGGCUUUGACGGGUAGCCGGCCUGAGAGGUUGACCGGCCACAUUGGGACUGAGAUACGGCCCAGACUCCUACGGGAGGCAGCAGUGGGGAAUAUUGCACAAUGGGCGGAAGCCUGAUGCAGCACGCCGCGUGCGGGAUGACGGCCUUCGGGUUGUAAACCGCUUUCGCCUGUGACGAAGCGUGAGUGACGGUAAUGGGUAAAGAAGCACCGGCUAACUACGUG